Mus musculus (house mouse) is the source of this 363-nucleotide non-coding RNA. The record is from the annotation of a RefSeq genome assembly. Lineage: Eukaryota; Metazoa; Chordata; Mammalia; Rodentia; Muridae.
AUGAAGUUGUGGUUAAACUGGGUUUUUCUUUUAACACUUUUACAUGGUAUCCAGUGUGAGGUGAAGCUGGUGGAAUCUGGAGGAGGCUUGGUACAGUCUGGGCGUUCUCUGAGACUCUCCUGUGCAACUUCUGGGUUCACCUUCAGUGAUUUCUACAUGGAGUGGGUCCGCCAAGCUCCAGGGAAGGGACUGGAGUGGAUUGCUGCAAGUAGAAACAAAGCUAAUGAUUAUACAACAGAGUACAGUGCAUCUGUGAAGGGUCGGUUCAUCGUCUCCAGAGACACUUCCCAAAGCAUCCUCUACCUUCAGAUGAAUGCCCUGAGAGCUGAGGACACUGCCAUUUAUUACUGUGCAAGAGAUGCA